RNAcentral lists this ribosomal RNA (253 nucleotides) under uncultured bacterium. Its description in RNAcentral is "partial 16S ribosomal RNA". It matches the Rfam family "Bacterial small subunit ribosomal RNA", at positions 524 to 776 of the family's 1533-position model. The record is from RNAcentral.
UACGAAGGGGGCUAGCGUUGCUCGGAAUCACUGGGCGUAAAGCGCACGUAGGCGGCUUUCUAAGUCAGGGGUGAAAUCCUGGAGCUCAACUCCAGAACUGCCUUUGAUACUGGGAAGCUCGAGUCCGGAAGAGGUGAGUGGAACUGCGAGUGUAGAGGUGAAAUUCGUAGAUAUUCGCAAGAACACCAGUGGCGAAGGCGGCUCACUGGUCCGGUACUGACGCUGAGGUGCGAAAGCCAGGGGAGCAAACGGG